This 490-nucleotide ribosomal RNA is filed under the name uncultured bacterium. RNAcentral's name for it is "partial 16S ribosomal RNA". It matches the Rfam family "Bacterial small subunit ribosomal RNA", at positions 30 to 507 of the family's 1533-position model. The record is from RNAcentral.
AUUGAACGCUGGCGGCAGGCCUAACACAUGCAAGUCGAACGGUAACAGGAAGAACCUUGCUUCUUUGCUGACGAGUGGCGGACGGGUGAGUAAUGUCUGGGAAACUGCCUGAUGGAGGGGGAUAACUACUGGAAACGGUAGCUAAUACCGCAUAACGUCGCAAGACCAAAGAGGGGGACCUUCGGGCCUCUUUCCAUCGGAUGUGCCCAGAUCGGAUUAGCUAGUAGGUGGGGUAACGGCUUACCUAGGCGACGAUCCCUAGCUGGUCUGAGAGGAUGACCAGCCACACUGGAACUGAGACACGGUCCAGACUCCUACGGGAGGCAGCAGUGGGGAAUAUUGCACAAUGGGCGAAAGCCUGAUGCAGCCACGCCGCGUGUAUGAAGAAGGCCUUCGGGUUGUAAAGUACUGUCAGCGGGGAGGAAGAGAGUAAAGUUAAUCCCUUCGCUCAUUGACGUUACCCGAAGAAGAAGCACCGGCUAACUACGUG